Molecule: ribosomal RNA, 449 nt
Filed under: uncultured prokaryote
Description: bacterial SSU rRNA
Rfam family: Bacterial small subunit ribosomal RNA
Source: RNAcentral
UGGGGAAUUUUGGACAAUGGGGGCAACCCUGAUCCAGCAAUGCCGCGUGUGUGAAGAAGGCCUUCGGGUUGUAAAGCACUUUUGUUAGGGAAGAAAACCGACUGGCUAAUACCCGGGCGGGCUGACGGUACCUUUCGAAUAAGCACCGGCUAACUACGUGCCAGCAGCCGCGGUAAUACGUAGGGUGCGAGCGUUAAUCGGAAUUACUGGGCGUAAAGCGUGCGCAGGCGGCACUGCAAGACAGAUGUGAAAUCCCCGGGCUCAACCUGGGAACUGCAUUUGUGACUGCAGAGCUAGAGUGUGUCAGAGGGAGGUGGAAUUCCACGUGUAGCAGUGAAAUGCGUAGAGAUGUGGAGGAACACCGAUGGCGAAGGCAGCCUCCUGGGAUAACACUGACGCUCAGGCACGAAAGCGUGGGGAGCAAACAGGAUUAGAUACCCCCGUAGUCC